GGCUUCGAAACUCAGCUGGUAGAGCCACGUUGAGGCAUAGCGUUUCUGUCGCUAGUUCGAAUCCGGCCGAAGCCC
Molecule: non-coding RNA, 75 nt
Organism: Paragonimus skrjabini miyazakii
Lineage: Eukaryota; Metazoa; Platyhelminthes; Trematoda; Plagiorchiida; Troglotrematidae
Source: the annotation of a GenBank genome assembly